RNAcentral lists this ribosomal RNA (301 nucleotides) under uncultured bacterium. Its description in RNAcentral is "partial 16S ribosomal RNA". It matches the Rfam family "Bacterial small subunit ribosomal RNA", at positions 509 to 807 of the family's 1533-position model. The record is from RNAcentral.
CAGUCGCCACGGGAAUACGAAGGGUGCAAGCGUUACUCGGAAUUACUGGGCGUAAAGCGUGCGUAGGUGGUGGUUUAAGUCCGUUGUGAAAGCCCUGGGCUCAACCUGGGAAUUGCAGUGGACACUGGGUCACUAGAGUGUGGUAGAGGAUAGUGGAAUUUCCGGUGUAGCAGUGAAAUGCGUAGAGAUCGGAAGGAACAUCUAUGGCGAAGGCGACUAUCUGGGCCAACACUGACACUGAGGCACGAAAGCGUGGGGAGCAAACAGGAUUAGAUACCCCCGUAGUCCCUGUCUCUUAUAC